Molecule: ribosomal RNA, 279 nt
Filed under: uncultured Staphylococcus sp.
Lineage: Bacteria; Bacillati; Bacillota; Bacilli; Caryophanales; Staphylococcaceae
Description: partial 16S ribosomal RNA
Rfam family: Bacterial small subunit ribosomal RNA
Source: RNAcentral
CCUUUGACGUUAGCGGCGGACGGGUGAGUAACACGUGGGUAACCUACCUAUAAGACUGGGAUAACUUCGGGAAACCGGAGCUAAUACCGGAUAAUAUUUCGAACCGCAUGGUUCGAUAGUGGAAGGUGGUUUUGCUAUCACUUAUAGAUGGACCCGCGCCGUAUUAGCUAGUUGGUAAGGUAACGGCUUACCAAGGCGACGAUACGUAGCCGACCUGAGAGGGUGAUCGGCCACACUGGAACUGAGACACGGUCCAGACUCCUACGGGAGGCAGCAGCA